AUUGAACGCUGGCGGCAGGCCUAACACAUGCAAGUCGAGCGGAUGACGGGAGCUUGCUCCUUGAUUCAGCGGCGGGCAGGUGAGUAAUGCCUAGGAGUCUGCCUGGUAGUGGGGGACAACGUUUCGAAAGGAACGCUAAUACCGCCUACGUCCUACGGGAGAAAGCAGGGGACCUUCCGGCCUUGCGCUAUCAGAUGAGCCUAGGUCGGAUUAGCUAGUAGGUGAGGUAAUGGCUCACCUAGGCGACGAUCCGUAACUGGUCUGAGAGGAUGAUCAGUCACACUGGAACUGAGACACGGUCCAGACUCCUACGGGAGGCAGCAGUGGGGAAUAUUGGACAAUGGGCGAAAGCCUGAUCCAGCCAUGCCGCGUGUGUGAAGAAGGUCUUCGGAUUGUAAAGCACUUUAAGUUGGGAGGAAGGGCAGUAAGUUAAUACCUUGCUGUUCUGACGUUACCGACAGAAUAAGCACCGGCUAACUCUGUGCCAGCCGCCGCGGUAA
This 500-nucleotide ribosomal RNA is filed under the name uncultured bacterium. Its description in RNAcentral is "partial 16S ribosomal RNA". It matches the Rfam family "Bacterial small subunit ribosomal RNA", at positions 30 to 523 of the family's 1533-position model. The record is from RNAcentral.